ACGUGGAUAACCUACCUAUAAGACUGGGAUAACUUCGGGAAACCGGAGCUAAUACCGGAUAAUAUUUUGAACCGCAUGGUUCAAAAGUGAAAGACGGUCUUGCUGUCACUUAUAGAUGGAUCCGCGCUGCAUUAGCUAGUUGGUAAGGUAACGGCUUACCAAGGCAACGAUGCAUAGCCGACCUGAGAGGGUGAUCGGCCACACUGGAACUGAGACACGGUCCAGACUCCUACGGGAGGCAGCAGUAGGGAAUCUUCCGCAAUGGGCGAAAGCCUGACGGAGCAACGCCGCGUGAGUGAUGAAGGUCUUCGGAUCGUAAAACUCUGUUAUUAGGGAAGAACAUAUGUGUAAGUAACUGUGCACAUCUUGACGGUACCUAAUCAGAAAGCCACGGCUAACUACGUGCCAGCAGCCGCGGUAAUACGUAGGUGGCAAGCGUUAUCCGGAAUUAUUGGGCGUAAAGCGCGCGUAGGCGGUUUUUUAAGUCUGAUGUGAAAGCCCACGGCUCAACCGUGGAGGGUCAUUGGAAACUGGAAAACUUGAGUGCAGAAGAGGAAAGUGGAAUUCCAUGUGUAGCGGUGAAAUGCGCAGAGAUAUGGAGGAACACCAGUGGCGAAGGCGACUUUUCUGGUCUGUAACUGACGCUGAUGUGCGAAAGCGUGG
This 663-nucleotide ribosomal RNA is filed under the name Staphylococcus aureus. Its description in RNAcentral is "bacterial SSU rRNA". It matches the Rfam family "Bacterial small subunit ribosomal RNA", at positions 115 to 764 of the family's 1533-position model. Lineage: Bacteria; Bacillati; Bacillota; Bacilli; Caryophanales; Staphylococcaceae. The record is from RNAcentral.